CAGCAGCCGCGGGAAUACAGAGGGUGCGAGCGUUAAUCGGAUUUACUGGGCGUAAAGCGUGCGUAGGCGGCUAUAUAAGACAGAUGUGAAAUCCCCGGGCUCAACCUGGGAACUGCAUUUGUGACUGUAUAGCUAGAGUACGGCAGAGGGGGAUGGAAUUCCGCGUGUAGCAGUGAAAUGCGUAGAUAUGCGGAGGAACACCGAUGGCGAAGGCAAUCCCCUGGGCCUGUACUGACGCUCAUGCACGAAAGCGUGGGGAGCAAACAGGAUUAGAGACCCCCGUAGUCCCUGUCUCUUAUAC
This 301-nucleotide ribosomal RNA is filed under the name uncultured bacterium. Its description in RNAcentral is "partial 16S ribosomal RNA". It matches the Rfam family "Bacterial small subunit ribosomal RNA", at positions 509 to 807 of the family's 1533-position model. The record is from RNAcentral.